CCUAAUACAUGCAAUGUCGAGCGAACCAAUAAGAAGCUUGCUUUUUGUUGGUUAGCGGCGGACGGGUGAGUAACACGUGGGUAACCUGCCUGUAAGACCGGGAUAACUCCGGGAAACCGGUGCUAAUACCGGAUAGAUUAUCUUUCCACCUGGAGAGAUAAGGAAAGAUGGCUUUUGCCAUCACUUACAGAUGGGCCCGCGGCGCAUUAGCUAGUUGGUGAGGUAACGGCUCACCAAGGCGACGAUGCGUAGCCGACCUGAGAGGGUGAUCGGCCACACUGGGACUGAGACACGGCCCAGACUCCUACGGGAGGCAGCAGUAGGGAAUCUUCCGCAAUGGACGAAAGUCUGACGGAGCAACGCCGCGUGAGCGAAGAAGGUCUUCGGAUCGUAAAGCUCUGUUGUUAGGGAAGAACAAGUAUCGGAGGAAAUGCCGGUACCUUGACGGUACCUGACGAGAAAGCCACGGCUAACUACGUGCCAGCAGCCGCGGUAAUACGUAGGUGGCAAGCGUUGUCCGGAUUUAUUGGGCGUAAAGCGCGCGCAGGCGGUCCUUUAAGUCUGAUGUGAAAUCUUGCGGCUCAACCGCAAGCGGUCAUUGGAAACUGGGGGACUUGAGUGCAGAAGAGGAAAGCGGAAUUCCACGUGUAGU
Molecule: ribosomal RNA, 652 nt
Filed under: uncultured bacterium
Lineage: Bacteria
Description: bacterial SSU rRNA
Rfam family: Bacterial small subunit ribosomal RNA
Source: RNAcentral